Molecule: long non-coding RNA, 1456 nt
Filed under: Gossypium barbadense (sea-island cotton)
Lineage: Eukaryota; Viridiplantae; Streptophyta; Magnoliopsida; Malvales; Malvaceae
Description: long non-coding RNA (GBAR_LNC017525)
Source: RNAcentral
GUUCGUGCGAACUCUCCUCAUGAGUUGGGUCCGCGAGCUCCCUUCGUUGUCCUCUCAUGGUUUACCUCAUACUCAAUCGUUUAGUGGGAUCUAUUUCAGGUUGGUGAUCACUUAUGUUUAACAAUCUAGUCCCUAAAUUCAUUUAUAUUUUAAAAUAAUUUGAGAAGUAGAAUUGAAGAUUAAAUAAAAGGUUUAGAGACACAUGGAAGAGUAUAAAAGAAAAGAGGAGGAAAGGAGGAGAUGGUGAGAGAGACCCUGAAAAUCAGAUUUAAGCUGAAAUGAUGAUUGAAAAAUAUCAGGAAAAAAGAAAGAAGUGAAUGAAAAUGAAUCCUCUCAAGGCAACUAAUAUAUACAUGGUGGAGAGAGGGUCUCGGACUUGGACAGGACAAGCUUAGGUGGUGAUUAACUACCUCUCUCUCAGGUAAGCAUUCAUUCCCUCCCAUCCUGCUUUUAUGUAUUUUUCUCAUAAAAAAAUAAAGAUGUUAAUCAGACGGCAUUUAUUUCAAUAACUACUAUGUUUAAUUAUAACAAAUACAAAGUUUGAAGCUUAAUUAAACAUUUGAUGUCCGGAUUUUUAUUAUCCGCAUGAUCUCGGCGGAUCAAUAAAUGUACAACAGGAAUGUUUCUGUCAUCUUGCUCCCCUUAUUAUUAUUAGCCACUGCUUUCUUUUCUUUCAAAACUAGCAAAGUAAUUUGAAAGCUAUGAGUAGGUGAGACAAAACAGAUUGAAAUUUUUGUUUUAUUUUUAAUCAAAAUUGAUUAAAAUUAAUUUGGAUUGAUAUGUUAUUUUAUUAAAUAAUUUGAUUUUAUAUUUUUAAAACCGAGUGAUAAAUUAAAAAUAAAUAAUAUUAUUAUUUUAGUUUAAACUUAAUCUUAUUCAAGCUAACCAACCUAACUCCAUGGACCCAAUGUUCCAUGGUUUCUUCUUACAAGUUUUAAACUUUUUUAUCCGAAAUUCUUGCGACACAUUACGUUAUUGUUUCUGGUGCUGAAAUGUUUAAGAUUGUUGUGGUUAGAUUAGAAACGAAAAUGUAAUGGCUAUAUUACUACGUAAUUUGUUAGAUUCAAGGGAGCGAAUCGAAACUUCUGUCAAUAUACCGAAUAAGGAAAAAGAAUUGGAAAGUUCCAAUGUUGGCGUUGCAGCUUGAGAACAAAAAUUCAUAUGAUGUUGGCAACUCAAUAUUAUUUCAUCAAAGCUUUUAUGUUUAAUCAUUUUUGGAGUUAAAGUUGAGUUGACCCAUUUAUAUAUAUAUAUGUAUUUUUUUUUCUGAUUGCUUACAGUUCAAAUCCAUAGGCCAAGGGGGACCAACAUCUUCAAUAUUUAGAGACGUCAUGUUGUAGGGUUCUUUUUUUUUGCUAUAAUUCGUCCCAUUUCAACCCGCAAAAGUCCAGAAUAAAUUGAUGAAUACAAACGUCGUGAAAAAUAUUAAUGAAAACAAACUGAAUAAGCUUUUGCC